Molecule: ribosomal RNA, 200 nt
Filed under: uncultured bacterium
Lineage: Bacteria
Description: partial 16S ribosomal RNA
Rfam family: Bacterial small subunit ribosomal RNA
Source: RNAcentral
AUUGAACGCUGGCGGCAGGCCUAACACAUGCAAGUCGAGCGGGGUUUUCGGACCUAGCGGCGGACGGGUGAGUAAUGCGUAGGAAGCUGCCCGAUAGAGGGGGAUACCAGUUGGAAACGACUGUUAAUACCGCAUAAUGUCUACGGACCAAAGUGUGGGACCUUCGGGCCACAUGCUAUCGGAUGCGCCUACGUGGGAUC